Molecule: ribosomal RNA, 216 nt
Filed under: uncultured bacterium
Lineage: Bacteria
Description: partial 16S ribosomal RNA
Rfam family: Bacterial small subunit ribosomal RNA
Source: RNAcentral
CCGUAGCCAAGAGACUGGGAUAACACCUGGAAACAGAUGCUAAUACCGGAUAACAACACUAGACGCAUGUCUAGAGUUUAAAAGAUGGUUCUGCUAUCACUCUUGGAUGGACCUGCGGUGCAUUAGCUAGUUGGUAAGGUAACGGCUUACCAAGGCAAUGAUGCAUAGCCGAGUUGAGAGACUGAUCGGCCACAUUGGGGCUGAGACACGGCCCAA